UUAAAUAAUAAAAGUUAAUUUAAAAAUGAAAAAGUUUUUAUAAAAAAGUGGGACAAGAAGACCCUAUGAAUCUUUAUUAUUAUGUUAUAGGAUAAUAAUAUAAUAAUUUAAUUGGGGCGAUUAAAAAAGAAUAAUUAUCUUUAAUUUGAAUUUAUUUUUUAAAUGAAUGAAAAGAUACUCUAGGGAUAACAGCGUUAUUAUUUUGGAUAGUUCAUAUUGAUAAAAUAGUUUGCGACCUCGAUGUUGAAUUAAUGAGUCUGCUGAAUGAAGUUGUUUAGUAAGAUAGAUUGUUCCUCUAUAGAAUCAUUACUUGAUCUGAGUUCAGACCGGACU
RNAcentral lists this ribosomal RNA (333 nucleotides) under Dermanyssus longipes. Its description in RNAcentral is "partial 16S ribosomal RNA". The stretch from base 48 to 333 matches the Rfam family "Bacterial large subunit ribosomal RNA", at positions 2075 to 2622 of the family's 2925-position model. Lineage: Eukaryota; Metazoa; Arthropoda; Arachnida; Mesostigmata; Dermanyssidae. The record is from RNAcentral.